RNAcentral lists this ribosomal RNA (465 nucleotides) under uncultured bacterium. RNAcentral's name for it is "partial 16S ribosomal RNA". It matches the Rfam family "Bacterial small subunit ribosomal RNA", at positions 28 to 507 of the family's 1533-position model. The record is from RNAcentral.
GACGAACGCUGGCGGCGUGCUUAACACAUGCAAGUCGAACGGAAAGGCCCCAGCUUGCUGGGGUACUCGAGUGGCGAACGGGUGAGUAACACGUGGGUGAUCUGCCCUGCACUCUGGGAUAAGCCUGGGAAACUGGGUCUAAUACCGGAUAGGACCGUGCUUUAGUGUGUGCGGUGGAAAGUUUUUCGGUGCAGGAUGAGCCCGCGGCCUAUCAGCUUGUUGGUGGGGUAAUGGCCUACCAAGGCGGCGACGGGUAGCCGGCCUGAGAGGGUGUACGGCAACAUGGGGCCUGAGACACGGCCCGGACUCCAACGGGAGGCAGCAGUGGGGAAUAUUGCACAAUGGGGGCAGGCCUGAUGCAGCGACGCCGCGGGGGGGAUGACGGCCUUCGGGUUGUAACCCCCUUUCGGCAGGGACGAAGCUGUUGUGACGGUACCUGCAUAAGAAGCACCGGCUAACUACGUG